Molecule: ribosomal RNA, 390 nt
Filed under: Triticum aestivum (bread wheat)
Lineage: Eukaryota; Viridiplantae; Streptophyta; Magnoliopsida; Poales; Poaceae
Description: partial small subunit ribosomal RNA
Source: RNAcentral
AUGCUAAUAGAUAAAGACAUGUCCCAAUCUUCUUGGUCUGCUCACGUAUGGAGGCGAUCUGAAUUAAAGGAAGAACUCUAUGUUGUCUGCUUGAAUCAAUUGUUCAUCUCUACAUUAACGAAUAGAAGAAUUUGUUCAGACUUCAGAAAUGUGUGGUUGAGGAGACAGGAACACACAGCAGUCUGCACUACACACUUGACAUACGUGCAAAGGAUCUUCACUAAGAUAUAUCGAGCAGAGCUCAUCACGACAUCCUGUGACGUUCUCAACCAUGUUAUCCUUCACGAUAAACAUAUUUUGAAGGAGACAAGAGAGCAUCCAAGCACGACCAUGUUGAACUUGAUGUCUUGCUGCAGUACAAGCGGCUGUUGUCCCUUGAUCCAGGUAUGA